This 406-nucleotide ribosomal RNA is filed under the name uncultured bacterium. RNAcentral's name for it is "partial 16S ribosomal RNA". It matches the Rfam family "Bacterial small subunit ribosomal RNA", at positions 30 to 526 of the family's 1533-position model. The record is from RNAcentral.
AUCGAACGCUGGCGGCAGGCCUAACACAUGCAAGUCGAACGAGUGGCGGACGGGUGAGUAAUGUCUGGGAAACUGCCCGAUGGAGGGGGAUAACUACUGGAAACGGUAGCUAAUACCGCAUACUAUCGUAUGUGCCCAGAUGGGAUUAGCUAGUAGGUGGGGGAACGGCUACCCUAGGCGACGAUCCCUAGCUGGUCUGAGAGGGUGACCGGCCACACUGGAACUGAGACACGGUCCAGACUCCUACGGGAGGCAGCAGUGGGGAAUAUUGCACAAUGGGCGCAAGCCUGAUGCAGCCAUGCCGCGUGUAUGAAGAAGGCUUUCGGGUUGUAAAGUACUGUCAGCGAGGAGGCGUUACUCGCAGAGGAAGCAACGGCUAACUCCGUGCCAGCAGCCGCGGUAAUAC